UACGUAGGGGGCAAGCGUUAUCCGGAUUUACUGGGUGUAAAGGGAGCGUAGACGACUGUGCAAGUCUGGAGUGAAAACCCGGGGCUCAACCCCGGGAUUGCUUUGGAAACUGUGUAGCUGGAGUACCGGAGAGGCAAGUGGAAUUCCUAGUGUAGCGGUGAAAUGCGUAGAUAUUAGGAGGAACACCAGUGGCGAAGGCGGCUUGCUGGACGGUAACUGACGUUGAGGCUCGAAAGCGUGGGGAGCAAACAGG
RNAcentral lists this ribosomal RNA (253 nucleotides) under uncultured bacterium. RNAcentral's name for it is "partial 16S ribosomal RNA". It matches the Rfam family "Bacterial small subunit ribosomal RNA", at positions 524 to 776 of the family's 1533-position model. The record is from RNAcentral.